CAUGCAAGUCGAACGAAGUAGCAAUACUUAGUGGCAGACGGGUGAGUAACAUGUAGGUAUCUACCCUUUGGCCUGGAAUAACACGAGGAAACUUGUGCUAAUACCGGAUAAGUCUUUACGGAGAAAGCUUUAUGCACCAUUGGAUGAGCCUGCACUUGAUUAGUUUGUUGGUGGGGUAAUGGCCUACCAAGACUGUGAUCAAUAGCUGAUUUGAGAGGAUGAUCAGCCACAUUGGGACUGAGACACGGCCCAAACUCCUACGGGAGGCAGCAGUGGGGAAUCUUGCACAAUGGAGGAAACUCUGAUGCAGCGAUGCCGCGUGAGUGAAGAAGGCCUUUGGGUUGUAAAGCUCUUUCGUCGGGGAAGAAAAUGACUGUACCCGAAUAAGAAGGUCCGGCUAACUUCGUGCCAGCAGCCGCGGUAAUACGAAGGGACCUAGCGUAGUUCGGAAUUACUGGGCUUAAAGAGUUCGUAGGUGGUUGAAAAAGUUAGUGGUGAAAUCCCAGAGCUUAACUCCCGAACUGCCAUUAAAACUUUUCAGCUAGAGUAUGAUAGAGGAAAGCAGAAUUUCUAGUGUAGAGGUGAAAUUCGUAGAUAUUA
Molecule: ribosomal RNA, 600 nt
Filed under: uncultured Alphaproteobacteria bacterium
Lineage: Bacteria; Pseudomonadati; Pseudomonadota; Alphaproteobacteria
Description: bacterial SSU rRNA
Rfam family: Bacterial small subunit ribosomal RNA
Source: RNAcentral